CUAAGAAAUACUGAACUUUAAAAAUUAUCAUUUGAUACAGUUGUCAUAUAGAUUCAUGUCAAAAUUAAAAGAGGUUUUUUAAAGUUCCAUUCUAAAUAUUCUAAUUUCCUCUUUUAAAAAAUUGUUUAUUAUGUUAAAAUACCCAGUUUACUCCCUUCCCCCUUUCCCCCAUUAGAGAAGGCAUCAUUUAACAAAAAGAUAUGCAUAUGUAAAACUAUGUAAUGCUUAUUACUAUUUGUCAAUUCUUUGUCUAGAGUUGGACAUACAUAAGUCAUUCUUCAAACAAUAGUUAUGUUGCUGUAUAUAACGUUCUCGUGGUUCUGCUCAUUUCAUUCUUCAUAAUUCCAUGAUCCUGUUAACACUCCAUACAGGAUUUAAGAAUUCACCGGCUUGUGAUGAAUACCAAGAAACAUUGAAAAAGUCAUAUGAACUGAUUUAGAAUUAAGUAAGCAGAGUCAAGAAAACAAUAUAAUCAGAGACUACAAUGUAAACAGAAGGAAUUAUUACAAGCCAAAAAAGCAAAAAUAAAUGUAGCAAAAUUAUAGAGCUCCA
This 552-nucleotide long non-coding RNA is filed under the name Monodelphis domestica (gray short-tailed opossum). RNAcentral describes it as "lncRNA (ENSMODG00000034431.2)". Lineage: Eukaryota; Metazoa; Chordata; Mammalia; Didelphimorphia; Didelphidae. The record is from RNAcentral.